This 227-nucleotide long non-coding RNA is filed under the name Capsella rubella. Its description in RNAcentral is "long non-coding RNA (CRUB_LNC000844)". The record is from RNAcentral. Lineage: Eukaryota; Viridiplantae; Streptophyta; Magnoliopsida; Brassicales; Brassicaceae.
AAGCGUAUUUGCUUGAAAACCGUAAUUCUAGAUUUCUUACAAUAUCGGUUUAAACCAGAUCUGAUUUUGGUCUAAUAGUUUUCGUUUUUAAUUUAAAAAAUGAUUUUGGUUUAUAUAUAUAUAUUUUUUAUUAUUAAAAAAGACUCAGCAAAAAAAUUCGAAUACAUGAGAAUAUUUUCAUUAAGGGUAGAUUGGUAAUAUUUUCCUGAGAGCGAAUGUGAGCCCUC